Stomoxys calcitrans (stable fly) is the source of this 283-nucleotide long non-coding RNA. RefSeq lists it as uncharacterized. NCBI's taxonomy places the organism in Eukaryota, Metazoa, Arthropoda, Insecta, Diptera, Muscidae. The record is from RefSeq and is a predicted model, not a curated record. The transcript has 3 exons.
CACAUACAGACACUCUAGACCAUAAAUGCAUGGCCCGCUGUCUAUGCUUUUGUUGCAGUCUCGCCUUGCCUGCAAGGUUUUCAGGUUUUUGCCUUUCUUUUUCUAGGAUCUUUUUCGGGCAAUAAAAGGCACAUCAUACUUCCUUUGUUAAGUCUAAGAAGAAAUCACGAGGUGCAAGAGGAUGGAAGGGGGAUUAUCUCAGCUGGAAGGCGAAAACUGAAUGGUUGGCAAUUGGCGUUACCACCUCAUAGCAAACAAACAGACUUGCACUGGAAACUUUUUU